This 225-nucleotide ribosomal RNA is filed under the name Triticum aestivum (bread wheat). RNAcentral's name for it is "partial small subunit ribosomal RNA". The record is from RNAcentral. Lineage: Eukaryota; Viridiplantae; Streptophyta; Magnoliopsida; Poales; Poaceae.
AUGAGGGCCAUCUCCUUCCCCCAUAUUUCGCCGUUAACCGCGACCUCCCGAGCACCAUGGCCGAGAGCACGAGCUCUUGAUCUGCCCCGCGCCCCGACUACCCCAUGGGCGCCCGGUCCGGCGCCGCCUCUCUGCCCGCGGCCGCGCUACCUCGCACUCAGGUCACUCGCAGCCCAUUCCUACACUGCCACCGCCGGUGUUGUACUGCUGCCACCGGCGAGCUAG